This 195-nucleotide non-coding RNA is filed under the name Chryseobacterium sp. Lineage: Bacteria; Pseudomonadati; Bacteroidota; Flavobacteriia; Flavobacteriales; Weeksellaceae. The record is from RNAcentral.
UUUUGCACUAUUAAUUAAGGUGUUCCGAUGGAAUUUUUCCGGAGGAAUGAAAAUGGGAAUCAGGUGAAAUACCUGAGCUGUACCCGCAACUGUAAGCUGAGAAAGAGGUAUCUAUCUUUUGCCACUGAGUAAUAGUACUUGGGAAGGCGAUACCGAAAAGCGAGCCAGGAGACCUGCCUUAUGUGUACUGCAAUC